This 641-nucleotide ribosomal RNA is filed under the name uncultured bacterium. Its description in RNAcentral is "bacterial SSU rRNA". The stretch from base 1 to 543 matches the Rfam family "Bacterial small subunit ribosomal RNA", at positions 338 to 873 of the family's 1533-position model. The record is from RNAcentral.
CCUACGGGAGGCAGCAGUGGGGAAUUUUGGACAAUGGGCGAAAGCCUGAUCCAGCAAUGCCGCGUGAGUGAAGAAGGCCUUCGGGUUGUAAAGCUCUUUUGUCAGGGAAGAAACGGUGAGAGCUAAUAUCUCUUGCUAAUGACGGUACCUGAAGAAUAAGCACCGGCUAACUACGUGCCAGCAGCCGCGGUAAUACGUAGGGUGCAAGCGUUAAUCGGAAUUACUGGGCGUAAAGCGUGCGCAGGCGGUUUUGUAAGUCUGAUGUGAAAUCCCCGGGCUCAACCUGGGAAUUGCAUUGGAGACUGCAAGGCUAGAAUCUGGCAGAGGGGGGUAGAAUUCCACGUGUAGCAGUGAAAUGCGUAGAUAUGUGGAGGAACACCGAUGGCGAAGGCAGCCCCCUGGGUCAAGAUUGACGCUCAUGCACGAAAGCGUGGGGAGCAAACAGGAUUAGAUACCCUGGUAGUCCACGCCCUAAACGAUGUCUACUAGUUGUCGGGUCUUAAUUGACUUGGUAACGCGAGCUACGACGUGAAGUAGACCGCCGUCGGGAGGUACGGUCGCGAGAAGUUAAACGUUAACAAAGUAGAAGUUAGUACGGCGUAGAGACGUUAGCCGACGGACGACGACGAGGGGAGGUAGGG